RNAcentral lists this ribosomal RNA (207 nucleotides) under uncultured bacterium. Its description in RNAcentral is "partial 16S ribosomal RNA". It matches the Rfam family "Bacterial small subunit ribosomal RNA", at positions 568 to 774 of the family's 1533-position model. The record is from RNAcentral.
CUCGUAGGCGGCUUGUCGCGUCGGCUGUGAAAUCCCGUGGCUCAACUGUGGGCGGGCAGCUGAUACGGGCAGGCUGGAGUUCGGUAGGGGAGACUGGAAUUCCUGGUGUAGCGGUGAAAUGCGCAGAUAUCAGGAGGAACACCGAUGGCGAAGGCGGGUCUCUGGGCCGAUACUGACGCUGAGGAGCGAAAGCGUGGGGAGCGAACA